GAUGAAGAACGCAGCGAAAUGCGAUAAGUAAUGUGAAUUGCAGAAUUCAGUGAAUCAUCGAAUCUUUGAACGCACAUUGCGCCCUCUGGUAUUCCGGGGGGCAUGCCUGUUCGAGCGUCAUUAUAACCACUCAAGCUCUCGCUUGGUAUUGGGGUUCGCGGUUCCGCGGCCCCUAAAAUCAGUGGCGGUGCCUGUCGGCUCUACGCGUAGUAAUACUCCUCGCGAUUGAGUCCGGUAGGUCUACUUGCCAGCAACCCCCAAUUUUUCUAUGGUUGACCUCGGAUCAGGUAGGGAUACCCGCUGAACUUAAGCAUAUCAAUAAGCGGAGGA
This 330-nucleotide unclassified non-coding RNA is filed under the name soil metagenome. Its description in RNAcentral is "partial contains 5.8S ribosomal RNA, internal transcribed spacer 2, and large subunit ribosomal RNA". The stretch from base 1 to 120 matches the Rfam family "5.8S ribosomal RNA", at positions 35 to 154 of the family's 154-position model. The record is from RNAcentral.